Talaromyces islandicus is the source of this 77-nucleotide non-coding RNA. Lineage: Eukaryota; Fungi; Ascomycota; Eurotiomycetes; Eurotiales; Trichocomaceae. The record is from the annotation of a GenBank genome assembly.
GCACCUAUAGCUCAGUUGGUAGAGCGCAUGACUAGUACUUUAUCAUGAGGUCCUCGGUUCAAGUCCGAGUAGGUGCA